GGGUGAUUAGCUCAGCUGGGAGAGCAUCUCCCUUACAAGGAGAGGGUCGGCGGUUCGAUCCCGUCAUCACCCACCACUU
This 79-nucleotide transfer RNA is filed under the name Shimwellia blattae DSM 4481 = NBRC 105725. RNAcentral describes it as "tRNA-Val". It matches the Rfam family "tRNA". From Rfam's summary of the family: Transfer RNA (tRNA) molecules are approximately 80 nucleotides in length. Their secondary structure includes four short double-helical elements and three loops (D, anti-codon, and T loops). Further hydrogen bonds mediate the characteristic L-shaped molecular structure. tRNAs have two regions of fundamental functional importance: the anti-codon, which is responsible for specific mRNA codon recognition, and the 3' end, to which the tRNAs corresponding amino acid is attached (by aminoacyl-tRNA synthetases). tRNAs cope with the degeneracy of the genetic code in two manners: having more than one tRNA (with a specific anti-codon) for a particular amino acid; and 'wobble' base-pairing, i.e. permitting non-standard base-pairing at the 3rd anti-codon position. Lineage: Bacteria; Pseudomonadati; Pseudomonadota; Gammaproteobacteria; Enterobacterales; Enterobacteriaceae. The record is from RNAcentral.